UGGUGGAGUGAUUUGUCUGGUUAAUUCCGAUAACGAACGAGACCUUAACCUGCUAACUAGUUACACUAUACUCUGUAUGGUGGCCAACUUCUUAGAGGGACUAUCGAUGUUUAAUCGAUGGAAGUUUGAGGCAAUAACA
This 139-nucleotide ribosomal RNA is filed under the name uncultured eukaryote. Its description in RNAcentral is "partial 18S ribosomal RNA". It matches the Rfam family "Eukaryotic small subunit ribosomal RNA", at positions 1299 to 1458 of the family's 1831-position model. The record is from RNAcentral.